UACGUAGGGUGCAAGCGUUAAUCGGAAUUACUGGGCGUAAAGCGUGCGCAGGCGGUUAUGUAAGACAGGUGUGAAAUCCCAGGGCUUAACCUUGGAACUGCAUUUGUGACUGCAUAGCUAGAGUACGGUAGAGGGGGAUGGAAUUCCGCGUGUAGCAGUGAAAUGCGUAGAUAUCUGGAGGAACACCGGUGGCGAAGGCGGCAUCCUGGACCGACACUGACACUGAGGAGCGAAAGCCAGGGGAGCAAACGGG
This 253-nucleotide ribosomal RNA is filed under the name uncultured bacterium. Its description in RNAcentral is "partial 16S ribosomal RNA". It matches the Rfam family "Bacterial small subunit ribosomal RNA", at positions 524 to 776 of the family's 1533-position model. The record is from RNAcentral.